CCUACGGGUGGCAGCAGUGGGGAAUAUUGCGCAAUGGGCGAAAGCCUGAAGCAGCGACGCCGCGUGAGGGAUGAAGGUCUUCGGAUCGUAAACCUCUGUCAGCAGGGAAGAACGGUCACUUUGCUAAUCAGCAGUGAAUUGACGGUACCUGCAAAGGAAGCACCGGCUAACUCCGUGCCAGCAGCCGCGGUAAUACGGAGGGUGCGAGCGUUAAUCGGAAUUACUGGGCGUAAAGCGCUCGUAGGCGGUAUGUCAAGUCAAGGGUGAAAUCCCCGCGCUCAACGUGGGAACUGCCUUUGAAACUGGCAAACUGGAGUGUGUGAGAGGAUAGUGGAAUUCGAGGUGUAGGAGUGAAAUCCGUAGAUAUCUGGAGGAACAUCAGUGGCGAAGGCGACUAGCUGGAACAUAACUGACGCUGAGGAGCGAAAGUGUGGGUAGCAAACAGGAUUAGAUACCCUAGUAGUC
Molecule: ribosomal RNA, 465 nt
Filed under: uncultured bacterium
Lineage: Bacteria
Description: partial 16S ribosomal RNA
Rfam family: Bacterial small subunit ribosomal RNA
Source: RNAcentral